Siniperca chuatsi (mandarin fish) is the source of this 2904-nucleotide long non-coding RNA. RefSeq lists it as uncharacterized. The record is from RefSeq and is a predicted model, not a curated record. The transcript is spliced from 3 exons. NCBI's taxonomy places the organism in Eukaryota, Metazoa, Chordata, Actinopteri, Centrarchiformes, Sinipercidae.
AACGGUUAAUUUUUUUUCGUUCUCAAGUGAGUCUGUAAACUGUCUUUCCCCUACAGGGGGGGCUUUCCUACAGCGGAUAUAAGGCUGAAACAGACAGAGUGGGACCAUGCUGAUAACAUACUGUAUAAGCAGGCCAUUAGUGACCUCUGUGACAAAAUAAAACAACAAAAAAACUCUUUCCCUUGAGAAUGGAUUUGGGAAAGAUAACAUUGGGCAAAAGAUUGCUCCAAGAAUCACGGUCAGGCUGACUGACUAGACAGGGUUUCGACGCCAGGUCGGGAAGGGGCUGGCUUGAACACUGAACUGGAGACGACAGAGCAUUCUUCACAUCCGUUACGUAAAAGCACCCACACUGACACAAAAGAGCAUGUGAACACACGACGCAAAGACAACUGCCUGCAUGAGACACAGCCACACACACAGACAUUGAUAAGUGAGGCUAUCUCUUACCUUGAGCACACACAAGCCACUGAUGACAAAGCCCCAGCAGAGAUAUACACUGGAUAUACACAUGAUGCAUACAAACGCAUGCCUGAACACACAAUCAAUGUUGCUGGAAAAGACACUGUUUUUCUUGUGCCCGAUCAAUAUUAUCGGAAGAGGUAUGAUGAUAAGAUAAGGAAUUAUUCUGAUUUCCACUCCUGAAGGCAUCAUUGUAGCCAGAAUUUCUGACACUGCAUUACAAUAUGUGAAACACAGCGACAGGGAGCUGAUGUACUCUUAUCAAUGGAAGCUGCCUCACACAGCUGCUGGCUCUGUAAAUAACACUGCUCACAGAGGUCAAAGCUCUCUUUCCAGACAACUAUACAUGACAUCAAGGAACCACAAGAGUUACACUGCACAGCACAUCACAUGUACAUCUUGGGGUUGAUAAACACAUGGUUCAGGCAAGACAAAGAGAGAAACACACUAAAGCUGACCUGGUUGUACUGGAAUGAUAAAAAAACAUGCACUGUCUCAGUAGCUUUCAAUGAUCCACUUUGUAAAGCUUUGUUUCAGGUCCCUAACACAUAUUCUCAUGUCCCCCUGGUCAAAGCAAAGCAGGAUACAUGGGAAUGCAUGGGCCCUUGGACCAGACAUUGUGAGGAAGCUGCUGGUUGGGUAAAGACAUCAGACUCAGGUGUGGAUUUUCACAGACAACUUCAAGUAUUCCGGAAAAGAUUAUCAGCUAUAGCAACAGGGAAGUGAUUAUUCCAUAUGCAAGAUCUCCAGUCCGGACACCUAUUUUCCCUGUACGAAAAUUCCGGGACGCCGGAGAGCCACAACAUUGGAGAUUCGUGAAAGACUUACAGACGCAUCCCAGUGGAUCCUGACAGCCAGUAUUGGUUUGCAUUCUCUUUUGAAGAUUCCUGUGAACUCACAAUGGACCCAGACACAGCACACAGGAACCUUUUCCUGUAAGAGAACAACAUCGUGACAGAUGAAGAGGAGGAGCAGGCAUAUCCUGAUCUGAAAAGGAGUGGAUACAGUGAUGACAGCUAGAUUGGAAGGAACGACAGCUCAUUGAGUCUGGACUGCUCUGCUGUUAGUUACUCUGCCUGCCACAAUAACAGAGUCAAAAUCAUACACAGCCCUGCCCCUUCCUAACUGCAACAUUCUAGAGCGUACCACAACCACAUAAAUGCAUACCUACAGUGGCUUCAGAAAGCAUUCAGACCCCUUCACGUUUUGCGGAUUUUAUUGUGUUGUAGAUUUAAUUUUAAAUGCAUAAAAUUGCCUUUUUGCACAUCAAUCAAAACCAAUCAAAAACAUGUUUUUAGAAUUUUUUGCAAAUUUAGUAAAACUCAAAAACUGAAAUCUUAUGUAUUCAGUCUAACUGUAUUCAAACUCUUUGCUGUGGCACUUGUGGUCAGUGUUUCCUGUUUGCUUUAAUUGUCCUUGAGAUGUCCACCUGUGGCAAAUUAAAAUUAUUGGACAUAGUUUAGAAACCACACAUCUAUGUAUAUAAGGUCCCACAAUUCACACUGCAUGUCAGGACAAAAACCAAGCCAUGAAGUCCAAGGAGCUCUGUGUAAACCUCCACGAUACAAUUGUGGCGAGGCAUAAAUCAGGGCAAGGGUAUAAAACCAUUUCUAAACCUUUGAGUGUUCCGAGGAGCCUGCUUAGAGUUUGAGAAAAAAGAUUCUCUUGUCUGAUGAGAUAAAAAUGUAACUCUUUGGGCAGAACUCCAAGCACUGCUCAUCACCUGGCUAAUACCAUCCCUACAGUGAAGUAUAACUCGAAUAUAAUUAAAGCAAACAGGAUACACCUGACCACAAUUUGGAGUGCCACAGGAAAUGGUCUGAAUACUUAUAUAAAAGAGAGAUUUCAGUCUUUAUGCCUGCGCUCCGGUGAUAGCCCGAGAACCAGGCAUGGUUCUCGGGUUGUUCGUCCGUCCAUCCAUCCAUCCCAUACUCAUGAACGCGAUAUCUCAGGAAAGCCUUGAGGGAAUGUCUUCAAAUUUGGCACAAACGUCCACUUGAAGAAUGACACAAGAAUGAACUGAUUCGAAUUUAGUUGUCAAAGGUCAAGGUAACUGUGACCUCACAAAACAAGUUUUUUGCCAUAACUGAGGACCAUAUUUCACAGUUGGCCGGACAAUGAAUUGGUGAGACUUUUGACUCAAAGGUCAAAGGUCAUUGUGACCUCAAAACAGGUUUUUAGCCAUAAUUUAAGAAUGAAUUGGGCGAUUUCAGAUUUCACACACAUGUUGACUGGGACGACACAAUAAUUAGACAAUAACUAGCACAGUACAGGCUUUCCUCCAUCUGCAUUUCACUUCCUGCCUCAUUCUGAAUUUCGAGCGUCAUCAAAAUCACAUAACUGCAAACUUGCUAAUAAUGAUUCUGUGAGUGAGUGAGUGAAAAAAAAAGCACUAUAGCACUAAUCCAUCUUUACAUAGUAAUCAAGUACAUGUGUACCUGU